UAAGUCUCAGUUCGGAUCGCAGGCUGCAACCCGCCUGCGUGAAGCCGGAAUUGCUAGUAAUCGCGGAUCAGCAUGCCGCGGUGAAUACGUUCCCGGGCCUUGUACACACCGCCCGUCACACCAUGAGAGCCGGGGGGACCCGAAGUCCGUAGCCUAACCGCAAGGAGGGCGCGGCCGAAGGUAAAACUGGUGAUUGGGGUGAAGUCGUAACAAGGUAUC
RNAcentral lists this ribosomal RNA (219 nucleotides) under uncultured bacterium. Its description in RNAcentral is "partial 16S ribosomal RNA". It matches the Rfam family "Bacterial small subunit ribosomal RNA", at positions 1282 to 1500 of the family's 1533-position model. The record is from RNAcentral.